UUGGAGGGCAAGUCUGGUGCCAGCAGCCGCGGUAAUUCCAGCUCCAAUAGCGUAUAUUAAAGUUGUUGCAGUUAAAAAGCUCGUAGUUGAAUUUCGGGGUUCUACCGUUGGUCGGGCUAUUGUCUGUACUGGCGUGUAGAAUUUCUACCUUCUGGGGAACUAUCAUGUUAUUAAUUUAGCGUGGUAGGAAACCAGGACCUUUACCUUGAAAAAAUUAGAGUGUUCAAAGCAGGCUUAUGUCUGAAUACAUUAGCAUGGGAUAAUAAAAUAGGACGGUGGUCCUGUUUUGUUGGUUUCUGAAUCACCGUAAUGAUUAAUAGGGAUAGUUGGGGGCAUUAGUAUUCAAUUGUCAGAGGUGAAAUUCUUGGAUUUAUUGAAGACUAACUACUGCGAAAGCAUUUGCCAAGGAUGUUUUCAUUAAUCAAGAACGAAAGUUAGGGGAUCGAAGACGAUCAGAUACCGUCGUAGUCUUAACCAUAAACUAUGCCGACUAGGGAUCGGACGAUGUUAACUUUUCUUGACUCGUUCGGCGCCUUACGGGAAA
This 544-nucleotide ribosomal RNA is filed under the name uncultured Glomeromycotina. Its description in RNAcentral is "SSU rRNA". It matches the Rfam family "Eukaryotic small subunit ribosomal RNA", at positions 548 to 1097 of the family's 1831-position model. Lineage: Eukaryota; Fungi; Glomeromycota. The record is from RNAcentral.